UUCCUACGGGGCGCAGCAGUGGGGAAUAUUGCACAAUGGGGGGAACCCUGAUGCAGCAAUGCCGCGUGGGUGAAGAAGCACUCCGGUGCGUAAAGCCCUGUCAGCAGGGAAGAAAAUGACAGUACCUGGACAAGAAGCCCCGGCUAACUACGUGCCAGCAGCCGCGGUAAUACGUAGGGGGCAAGCGUUAUCCGGAUUUACUGGGUGUAAAGGGAGCGUAGACGGCAUAGCAAGUCUGAAGUGAAAGCCCAAGGCUCAACCAUG
This 264-nucleotide ribosomal RNA is filed under the name uncultured bacterium. RNAcentral describes it as "partial 16S ribosomal RNA". It matches the Rfam family "Bacterial small subunit ribosomal RNA", at positions 336 to 617 of the family's 1533-position model. The record is from RNAcentral.